UUCAAAAUUAGAAAUAUAAACCAGAUGAUACAACAGAAAAUUACUUGAAUAACUAAUGAUAUCUGCCAUCCACGCAACAGUCAACAAUGAGAGUGGAUUAUCUGCUAGAAUUAUUUCACACCUGGGAGAAAUUAUUUCUAAAAUUACUAUGCAAUAAACAGCUCAUCAAGUGUUACGUUCGUUAAAACGAGAGAUACAACAGACAGCUCUAAGCUUUCAGUGGCAUUAUAUAUAAACGAAUUAUCGAUCUGAUCGAUAUAAGCCAAAAAUUUAAUACUGAUAUGCAAAUGGAACUACUGAAGGCAAUCGGUGGAUGAAUUUAAAAUGUGUUUAACAUGUGGUUUAGCCCAAGAUUAUUAUAUACGCCGACGAAACACCUAGUCUUAACCACAACCCAAGACUGAUUAGAAGCACAUAGCCUGGAACUGACAGUUUCUCCCUCUAACGAUGAGCUUACAACAUGCAUCAGUUUUCUAAAAACGCAACAGAACUUAAAAAAUUUGGCUUAAUAGCUUGAAAAAUCACGAAGUAGGUUUCAGCUGAAAGCAAAGGUCCAUAUGAUUCUAACUCAACAGUAAUCACUGCAGAAAUGGUAAUUACAGGUUUCUGCGAGCGAGAGCUAUAGGGGUAGCCUUCUCAAUUAAGGGACAGUUAACUGAACGAAUUGCCGCUUUUCUCUUUGGACCUUUAUUUCUAUUUUGUUGUGAGCCUACGGCUAAUUUGCCACCCCAAAAACAAAAAGGUUGAGCGUAGAAUCGCCACCCGUUUUCGCACCUUUUGUAUUUCCGAGUUCAUGCAUGUGUGUGUAUAUCUGUCUAUAUGUCACUGCGUGUUUUUGACACGUAAUAAAGUGCAAUCAAAUGCAACCUGUACAAAUUCACACCCAGCAAAGUUUUUUUCAGCAAAUCUUCCAAAGAAUGAAGAAAAGCACCGAUGCUGCGCUAUAAUGCUACCAAAAGAUAAAAUGUACAAAUUACUCGUCUGCCUUCUACUAGUUUGAAAUUAACUAGUACGUAACUAGUUCACACCUGGGCCUUUUUUUUAUAUCUCAGCAACUCCGCAUAGAAACGGAAACGGAAAUUUGUUUCGCAAUUGAUUGAGUUUCUUUUUUGUGGAAAUACUCGUAUUAGCGUCGAGAAUCGAGACUUCUUCUGUGAGGAAAUGAAAAGUGAAAGACAAAAGAGAUUGAUUUAAGAUUAUGAUAAUAGCUGUGUCAAAUAAAUAACAAAUCAUUACAUGUUGUUAGUGAGGCAGAUAAAAUUAAUAUAAAAUCUGAAUAUGUACUUUUCGGACCAGUUGCGAUAUAUAUGUACAGAUUCAAUUUAGAAAUACAGAACUUAGAGCUGACAUCUGAGAAUUACUUCAUUUGUAGAGCGUCAACUUCUUCAAACUGCUAAACGGAUACAUUGGUUAAAUAUAUAGAGAAAACGAUAAGCCGGAAACGCCAC
Molecule: non-coding RNA, 1448 nt
Organism: Bactrocera oleae (olive fruit fly)
Lineage: Eukaryota; Metazoa; Arthropoda; Insecta; Diptera; Tephritidae
Source: RefSeq, a predicted model, not a curated record